GGAUUAGAUACCCUGGUAGUCCACGCCCUAAACGAUGUGUGCUAGUUGUUGGGUCUUAAGAUUCAGUGACGCAGCUAACGCAUUAAGCACACCGCCUGGGGAGUACGGUCGCAAGAUUAAAACUCAAAGGAAUUGACGGGGACCCGCACAAGCGGUGGAGUAUGUUGUUUAAUUCGAAGCAACGCGAAGAACCUUACCUACACUUGACAUCCUGGUCGGGGAUUGCAGAGAUGCUUUCCUUCGGUUCGGCCGGACCAGUGACAGGUGCUGCAUGGCUGUCGUCAGCUCGUGCCG
RNAcentral lists this ribosomal RNA (294 nucleotides) under uncultured bacterium. RNAcentral describes it as "partial 16S ribosomal RNA". It matches the Rfam family "Bacterial small subunit ribosomal RNA", at positions 775 to 1067 of the family's 1533-position model. The record is from RNAcentral.